Molecule: ribosomal RNA, 253 nt
Filed under: uncultured bacterium
Lineage: Bacteria
Description: partial 16S ribosomal RNA
Rfam family: Bacterial small subunit ribosomal RNA
Source: RNAcentral
UACGUAGGGUGCAAGCGUUGUCCGGAAUUAUUGGGCGUAAAGAGCUCGUAGGCGGUUUGUCGCGUCGAAUGUGAAAACCCGGGGCUCAACCCCGGGCCUGCAUUCGAUACGGGCAGACUAGAGUUCGGUAGGGGAGUCUGGAAUUCCUGGUGUAGCGGUGAAAUGCGCAGAUAUCAGGAGGAACACCGGUGGCGAAGGCGGAUCUCUGGGCCUGUACUGACGCUGAGGAACGAAAGCGUGGGGAGCGAACAGG